Long non-coding RNA from Cyprinus carpio carpio, 308 nucleotides. Lineage: Eukaryota; Metazoa; Chordata; Actinopteri; Cypriniformes; Cyprinidae. The record is from Ensembl.
AAAUAUUGUGACACGUGUCCCGAGCUCUCAUCAGCGUCGCCCUGGAAACCGAGCAGUCACACCUGCUCCUGCUCGUCACGGGCUGAGCGGCCACACCUGCGGAUCAUCAAGAACUGCAUACUUAAGCACAGCAAACGAACACAGAGGUGAGCGAUGUCUCCAGCAGAGCCAGCUAAUCCUACUGAUCUGUCUUGCUUGCAGAGAGCAGUGUGUGACCGCCAGCCCCACCAUACACGGGAGAGCACAACGGACCCACCCUGCCACCGCACACCAGAGCACAGAGGAAGCUGAGCACCCCGCACCGGACC